This 576-nucleotide long non-coding RNA is filed under the name Capsicum annuum. RNAcentral describes it as "long non-coding RNA (CANN_LNC008789)". The record is from RNAcentral. Lineage: Eukaryota; Viridiplantae; Streptophyta; Magnoliopsida; Solanales; Solanaceae.
UGUCCAAUAUCGAAAACCCCCAAAAGCACUAUACUAGAGAUGAAUCACAAGAAAACGAAAAUGAAAUCCCUAAAAUCUAAUAGAGAACUAGAAAACAGUACAAAUCAGAGCUUCAGUGAUCUACGAAGGGCAAAAAUUGACAGAAGAAGGGUCGGAUUCUGGCGAAUUUGAAUAUUUUCUAGCCGGCGUCACCUGAAGAUGAUAAAAAAAGACCGUGCUGGAGAAGGGUUCGUCAGAAAAAUCAAAACGAGUAGAUUCAUAGCUGAUUCUCAUUCAUUUUUCCUCGAUCUUACUUUUGAUCUUCUCUUUCGAUGGUUUUCUGUGUAUGUUUCCUAAUCCGGUGAGUUUCCUCCCCUUUUUCGAUAAAUACCCCUCCUAAUAUGUGUGUGUGUGUGAACGAUGAUGAAGAAUAAGAAACCCUAUCCCUCUUUUUGUUCCUGUGUUUUGAGCAAGAAAAGAAACCCAAAAAUCCCCAAAUCCUGUCUCUGUGUGUGUAUUUUCCUUGGAAAUCCUAUCCCUCCUCCAUUCUCUCUAUCCGUGUAUGUGUUGUAUUAUUCCCCAGAAAAAUGGAGCUCC